RNAcentral lists this transfer RNA (68 nucleotides) under Mileewa mira. RNAcentral's name for it is "tRNA-Ser". Lineage: Eukaryota; Metazoa; Arthropoda; Insecta; Hemiptera; Cicadellidae. The record is from RNAcentral.
AAGUUAUUUAGCUUAUAUUACUAAAGCGUGUAUUUUGAAAAUAUAAAAAAGAGAAUUUUAAUAACUUU